GGCAAGGUAACUGAGGGCCGAGAAACACUCCUUUGCAUAGAGCACAUUGGAAUACAUAUCCACAUCUUCUACCCGAUAGGGGUCAUUCCUCAAAAGUUCUUCAAAUAUUACUUCAACUUGUUCAAAUUCCCUUAGACAGUACUGGGCUUUUGCAAUUUGAGCCCGUAUGUAAUUACUGAAACUAAAAGUGUUUUGCAAAUGUUCAUAUUUUG
Molecule: unclassified non-coding RNA, 212 nt
Filed under: Hevea brasiliensis (rubber tree)
Lineage: Eukaryota; Viridiplantae; Streptophyta; Magnoliopsida; Malpighiales; Euphorbiaceae
Source: RNAcentral